Hippocampus zosterae (dwarf seahorse) is the source of this 1120-nucleotide RNA transcript. It is a transcript of the gene named eukaryotic elongation factor 2 lysine methyltransferase, with no coding region annotated. The transcript has 8 exons. Lineage: Eukaryota; Metazoa; Chordata; Actinopteri; Syngnathiformes; Syngnathidae. The record is from RefSeq and is a predicted model, not a curated record.
AUAUAUUUUACGACUGACACGGAAGUAAACAAAUGAACACGUGAACGAUGGAGCCUGUUGAGUCAACCAAUUUUCACUCAAGAAAGCAAAACAGAUCUGACAUUUUAAAACAAUUCCAAUCGCGGUAUUUCGCUACCAGUCGCCUCGUUUCAUUCCCCUGGAGGCUUUUAGAAAAUGAGCUUGAACGCAGCAACUCAUCGGACGUCAUUUUAGAAAUCCUCAAACGGACGUGUCUUCACGCCCUGUGUCGUAAGUUUCCGCCGUCGCCGCGAUACAGGAAGUGCUUUCUCUCUGAGCUCAUAAAACGGGUGGAAGCCGCAGAGUGCGAACCUCUUGAUGAGCUCUAUGAUGCUCUGGCAGAGGUAGUGGCGGCCCAAGAUGUGGCAGAGGGAUACCGGACCUACUUACUGCCGUGCGGGAACAGCGUCAGCUUGUUGGAGAAUGUGGCUUUAAUCUCAGAGGGGACAACGGGCCUGGUGACAUGGGAGGCAGCCCUCUACCUAGCCGAGUGGGCCUUGGACCACGCGCAUAUUUUUGCUGGAAGGAAAGUUCUGGAGCUGGGCAGCGGUGCGGGUCUGACCGGCGUCGCUGUGUGUCAUUCGUGCGCUCCUUCCUCAUACGUCUUCAGUGAUUGUCACCAAAGUGUCCUCCAGAGACUUUGUGACAACUUGAGCAUCAACGGACUCCUCAACAACAAAACAAACACCAGUAGGACAGAAGUCAGAGUGCAAGAGCUGGACUGGACGGAUGUGACGGAGGAACGCUUGAAUGACGUCGGUGCAGACGUGGUCAUAGCAGCAGGUCCGACCCUCCGCAAUAAGGAUGGAAUGGAAAAGGCAGGAAAGAUGUGGUGUAUGAUCCUGACGUGAUUGCAGUUCUGGUCCAGCUUCUGUCCAAGAUCCUGAAGCGUGGUGGUGUUCGGGUCCCCUCUGAGGUUUUCAUCUGCUCUACUGUCAGGAACCCGCAGACGUACGCCGGUUUCAAGCACAGUCUAAGUGCUGCUGGGAUCGGCCACCGGGUGAUGAGUGGAGCUGUCAAUCACGUCUUUGAGUACAACAGAGAGUCUGAAAUCGAGCUUGUUCAAUUGUUUGCGUGUCAAUAAAGUUUUUUUUAUUUACAA